Non-coding RNA from Leptonychotes weddellii (Weddell seal), 285 nucleotides. The record is from RefSeq and is a predicted model, not a curated record. NCBI's taxonomy places the organism in Eukaryota, Metazoa, Chordata, Mammalia, Carnivora, Phocidae.
CUCAGCCUCUGGCGGAGGAAGUGAUGUCACAGGCCCCAUGUGAGCGGAUUGCAACACAUGCAGCUGCCUGGAGAGAGGGAACCGGUGUCCUACGUCAGAGCCGCCGCCGCGGAGCCGCCGCCGGGGAGGAGCAGCCGCUGCCGCCCAGGACUGGGCCCUUAGGGAGGAGGAGGCGAGAAGAUGGCGGACGACCCCAGUGCUGCCGACAGGAACGUGGAGAUCUGGAAGAUCAAGAAGCUCAUCAAGAGCUUGGAGGCGGCCCGCGGCCAGGUCUCAUUAAAAUGG